RNAcentral lists this transfer RNA (60 nucleotides) under Calanthe gracilis. RNAcentral describes it as "Cephalantheropsis gracilis partial tRNA-Leu". Lineage: Eukaryota; Viridiplantae; Streptophyta; Magnoliopsida; Asparagales; Orchidaceae. The record is from RNAcentral.
CGCUACGGACUUAAAAUCCGUCGAAUUUUUAAAUCGUGAGGGUUCAAGUCCCUCUAUCCC